Molecule: ribosomal RNA, 468 nt
Filed under: uncultured bacterium
Lineage: Bacteria
Description: partial 16S ribosomal RNA
Rfam family: Bacterial small subunit ribosomal RNA
Source: RNAcentral
GACGAACGCUGGCGGCGUGCUUAACACAUGCAAGUCGAACGGAAAGGCCCUGCUUUUGUGGGGUGCUCGAGUGGCGAACGGGUGAGUAACACGUGAGUAACCUGCCCUUGACUUUGGGAUAACUUCAGGAAACUGGGGCUAAUACCGGAUAGGAGCUCCUGCUGCAUGGUGGGGGUUGGAAAGUUUCGGCGGUUGGGGAUGGACUCGCGGCUUAUCAGCUUGUUGGUGGGGUAGUGGCUUACCAAGGCUUUGACGGGUAGCCGGCCUGAGAGGGUGACCGGCAAAAUGGGGACUGGGAUACGGCCAAGAUUCCUACGGGAGGCAGAAGGGGGGAAUAUUGAACAAUGGGCGGAGGCCGGUGGCAGCAACGCGGGGGGCGGGAGGCCGGCCUUCGGUUGUAAACCCGCUUUGGCCUGGGAGGAGGCGUGAGUGACGGUAAUGGGUAAAGAAGCACCGGCUAACUACGUG